Molecule: ribosomal RNA, 253 nt
Filed under: uncultured bacterium
Lineage: Bacteria
Description: partial 16S ribosomal RNA
Rfam family: Bacterial small subunit ribosomal RNA
Source: RNAcentral
UACAGAGGGUGCGAGCGUUAAUCGGAAUUACUGGGCGUAAAGCGUGCGCAGGCGGUUCGACAAGUCCGAUGUGAAAGCCCCGGGCUCAACCUGGGAAUGGCAUUGGAAACUGGCGGGCUGGAGUGUGGCAGAGGGGGGUGGAAUUCCGCGUGUAGCAGUGAAAUGCGUAGAGAUGCGGAGGAACACCGAUGGCGAAGGCAGCCCCCUGGGCUGACACUGACGCUCAGGCACGAAAGCGUGGGGAGCAAACAGG